Molecule: ribosomal RNA, 430 nt
Filed under: Pseudomonadota bacterium
Lineage: Bacteria; Pseudomonadati; Pseudomonadota
Description: Proteobacteria bacterium partial 16S ribosomal RNA
Rfam family: Bacterial small subunit ribosomal RNA
Source: RNAcentral
UGGGGAAUAUUGGACAAUGGGCGAAAGCCUGAUCCAGCCAUGCCGCGUGUGUGAAGAAGGUCUUCGGAUUGUAAAGCACUUUAAGCGAGGAGGAGGCUACUUUAGUUAAUACCUAGAGAUAGUGGACGUUACUCGCAGAAUAAGCACCGGCUAACUCUGUGCCAGCAGCCGCGGUAAUACAGAGGGUGCAAGCGUUAAUCGGAUUUACUGGGCGUAAAGCGCGCGUAGGCGGCUAAUUAAGUCAAAUGUGAAAUCCCCGAGCUUAACUUGGGAAUUGCAUUCGAUACUGGUUAGCUAGAGUGUGGGAGAGGAUGGUAGAAUUCCAGGUGUAGCGGUGAAAUGCGUAGAGAUCUGGAGGAAUACCGAUGGCGAAGGCAGCCAUCUGGCCUAACACUGACGCUGAGGUGCGAAAGCAUGGGGAGCAAACAGG